GAGGUACUAGUUAAAUUGUACAUAACAAUGCUUUGUCAAGGCAUAAUUGUAGGUUGAACCCCUACGCACCUUA
This 73-nucleotide transfer RNA is filed under the name Cirripectes randalli. RNAcentral's name for it is "tRNA-Asp". It matches the Rfam family "tRNA". Rfam says of the family: Transfer RNA (tRNA) molecules are approximately 80 nucleotides in length. Their secondary structure includes four short double-helical elements and three loops (D, anti-codon, and T loops). The record is from RNAcentral. Lineage: Eukaryota; Metazoa; Chordata; Actinopteri; Blenniiformes; Blenniidae.